UACGUAGGGUGCAAGCGUUAAUCGGAAUUACUGGGCGUAAAGCGUGCGCAGGCGGUUUUGUAAGACAGUGGUGAAAUCCCCGGGCUCAACCUGGGAACUGCCAUUGUGACUGCAAGGCUGGAGUGCGGCAGAGGGGGAUGGAAUUCCGCGUGUAGCAGUGAAAUGCGUAGAUAUGCGGAGGAACACCGAUGGCGAAGGCAAUCCCCUGGGCCUGCACUGACGCUCAUGCACGAAAGCGUGGGGAGCAAACAG
Molecule: ribosomal RNA, 252 nt
Filed under: uncultured prokaryote
Description: partial 16S ribosomal RNA
Rfam family: Bacterial small subunit ribosomal RNA
Source: RNAcentral